RNAcentral lists this ribosomal RNA (569 nucleotides) under uncultured fungus. Its description in RNAcentral is "eukaryotic LSU rRNA". The stretch from base 210 to 364 matches the Rfam family "5.8S ribosomal RNA". The record is from RNAcentral. Lineage: Eukaryota; Fungi.
AGGAUCAUUACCGAAUUGUCAAACGGGUUGUUGCUGGUCUUCAAACGGGGACAUGUGCACGCUCUGUUUACACAUCCACUCACACCUGUGCACCCUCCGUAGUUCUAUGGUCUGGGGGACCCUGUCUUCCUGCCGUGGUUCUACGUCUUUACACACACUCUGUAAUAAAGUCUUAUGGAAUGUAUGCCGCGUCUAACGCAAUACAAUACAACUUUCAGCAACGGAUCUCUUGGCUCUCGCAUCGAUGAAGAACGCAGCGAAAUGCGAUAAGUAAUGUGAAUUGCAGAAUUCAGUGAAUCAUCGAAUCUUUGAACGCACCUUGCGCCCCUUGGCUAUUCCGAGGGGCAUGCCUGUUUGAGUAUCAUGAACACCUCAACUCUCAUGGUUCGCCAUGAUGAGCUUGGACUCUGGGGGUUUUGCUGGCCUGCGGUCGGCUCCCCUCAAAUGAAUCAGCCUCCCAGUGUUUGGUGGCAUCACGGGUGUGAUAAAUAUCUACGCUCGCGGUUGUCUGCCAKGUAACCUUUGGUGACAAAGGUUUGCUGGAGCUCACAGAUGUCUCUCCUCGGCGA